AAAUUGAUAAAACUUUCAACAACGGAUCUCUUGGCUCUGGCAUCGAUGAAGAACGCAGCGAAAUGCGAUAAGUAAUGUGAAUUGCAGAAUUUAGUGAAUCAUCGAAUCUUUGAACGCACAUUGCGCCCCUUGGUAUUCCGAGGGGCAUGCCUGUUCGAGCGUCA
This 164-nucleotide ribosomal RNA is filed under the name Erysiphe betae. Its description in RNAcentral is "5.8S ribosomal RNA". It matches the Rfam family "5.8S ribosomal RNA". Rfam says of the family: 5.8S ribosomal RNA (5.8S rRNA) is a component of the large subunit of the eukaryotic ribosome. The record is from RNAcentral. Lineage: Eukaryota; Fungi; Ascomycota; Leotiomycetes; Helotiales; Erysiphaceae.